Molecule: ribosomal RNA, 207 nt
Filed under: uncultured bacterium
Lineage: Bacteria
Description: partial 16S ribosomal RNA
Rfam family: Bacterial small subunit ribosomal RNA
Source: RNAcentral
UGCGCAGGCGGGAGGAUAGGUCGGAUGUGAAAACCCCGGGCUCAACCCGGGGCCUGCAUCCGAGACCAUUCUUCUUGAGUAUCGGAGAGGGAAGCGGAACUCCAGGUGUAGCGGUGAAAUGCGUAGAUAUCUGGGGGAACACCGGUGGCGAAGGCGGCUUCCUGGACGAAUACUGACGCUCAUGCACGAAGGCUAGGGGAGCAAACA